GGUUUGUAUGGAGAAGCGAUCAAGAUUGGCUUACAAGCCUGUGGCAACUUUCGAUAUUUUAUUUUUAUUUUUUCUUUCUGUGGGUGAGCCUGUUGAAUUAAGUUAAGAGAUCAGAAGAAACCUGUCAUUGUUUUGCACCAUUUCCCUCUCAAGAGGAGAAAAGGAGAGAACUUUAGACGAAGCAUGGUUGUUCUGCCUCUAUUCAUGCUGCAGCUUCUAUGGCAGGUACCACCUUCAUCCUCCAAUAUGCCGGAUCCCUCGG
Molecule: long non-coding RNA, 262 nt
Filed under: Elaeis guineensis (African oil palm)
Lineage: Eukaryota; Viridiplantae; Streptophyta; Magnoliopsida; Arecales; Arecaceae
Description: long non-coding RNA (EGUI_LNC011304)
Source: RNAcentral